This 439-nucleotide ribosomal RNA is filed under the name uncultured bacterium. Its description in RNAcentral is "bacterial SSU rRNA". It matches the Rfam family "Bacterial small subunit ribosomal RNA", at positions 954 to 1392 of the family's 1533-position model. The record is from RNAcentral.
GCUAAACGCGAAGAACCUUACCAGGGCUUGACAUACACCAGAACACCCUAGAAAUAGGGGACUCUUUGGACACUGGUGAACAGGUGGUGCAUGGUUGUCGUCAGCUCGUGUCGUGAGAUGUUGGGUUAAGUCCCGCAACGAGCGCAACCCUCGUUCUAUGUUGCCAGCACGUUAUGGUGGGAACUCAUGGGAUACUGCCGGGGUCAACUCGGAGGAAGGUGGGGAUGACGUCAAAUCAUCAUGCCCCUUAUGUCUUGGGCUUCACGCAUGCUACAAUGGCCGGUACAAAGGGCUGCAAUACCGUGAGGUGGAGCGAAUCCCAAAAAGCCGGUCCCAGUUCGGAUUGAGGUCUGCAACUCGACCUCAUGAAGUCGGAGUCGCUAGUAAUCGCAGAUCAGCAACGCUGCGGUGAAUACGUUCCCGGGUCUUGUACACACCG